AUACUUACCUGGCAUGGGAGUGACCAUGGUCUUGAAGGUGGUACUCCAGGAGGAGGCUAGCCCAUUGCACUUCAGGUGUGCUGACGCCUGCAAUGUCCCCAAAUGCAGGAUACUCGACUGCAAAAUUUGUGGUAGUGGAGGACUGCGUUCACGCUGUCCCCUG
This is a small nuclear RNA of Carcharodon carcharias (great white shark), 163 nucleotides long. RefSeq annotates it as U1 spliceosomal RNA. The transcript has a single exon. The record is from RefSeq and is a predicted model, not a curated record. Lineage: Eukaryota; Metazoa; Chordata; Chondrichthyes; Lamniformes; Lamnidae.